This 75-nucleotide transfer RNA is filed under the name Candidatus Poribacteria bacterium. Its description in RNAcentral is "tRNA-Lys". It matches the Rfam family "tRNA". Rfam says of the family: Transfer RNA (tRNA) molecules are approximately 80 nucleotides in length. Their secondary structure includes four short double-helical elements and three loops (D, anti-codon, and T loops). The record is from RNAcentral. Lineage: Bacteria; Candidatus Poribacteria.
GGGUUGCUAACUCAAUGGUAGAGUAUUCGGCUUUUAACCGACAAGCUCCGGGUUCGAGUCCCGGGCAACCCACCC